This 1359-nucleotide long non-coding RNA is filed under the name Anser brachyrhynchus (Pink-footed goose). RNAcentral's name for it is "lncRNA (ENSABRG00000006018.1)". Lineage: Eukaryota; Metazoa; Chordata; Aves; Anseriformes; Anatidae. The record is from RNAcentral.
CAAGUAUUUCUGUUAGCAGGACUUUCAUUCAUCCACCAAGACUUUAGGGGAAAAAGUUGCUAAAUCAUCCUGAACUUGGACCACAGCAUCAUAAAGUUUGAAAUGUUUUACCUCUGCUAUUUCACUAUUCUUAGUAGCAACUGCCAGCUGAAGGACUCCGGAUUUUAUAAUAAAACUAAUAAAACCGAUUUCUAGUUUAAGUAGUGGCAGAUCACAUAAAAAAAAAAAAGUACUUUUAUCCUGUUCCUAUCCCAAAUUCUUCUCACUUCCUGCUGGUAAUAUAUAUGUAUUUUUAACUUGCAAUUAAGCAUGCCCAUCAGAUGCCAAAAAAUGUCCUCAGCAAAGCACUCUCCCUCUUUUUAGUCUUCUAGCAUGUACUUUAUUAGAAGUAACUAUUUUUGCCCAUAACAUUUUGCAGUCUGAUUAUCUGUUACUUUGUUGAUGUGACAAUAAUUCUUUUCUAUUUAUAAUCCCUCGUUCUAGCAAUGCACAAUAACGCCAGCUUUGUCCUCCCAUUACUUUUUACUCUUCUCCAGCAGAGCUGAUAGAUCCAUUUGUAAUGCAGCUGCUGGACCUUGGACCUUGGCUACCCAUGCUGCAUUCCAGACUGCCUUUCCUAUCCUGUCCCCGUACAUUGAUAUAUCUCAUACAAAUAGUUUGUGACUGAGCUGUUUAAACGUUCUUCUCUUGGUUUUUCUUUUGCAAGCCGGGUUUAAUUGCUGUUAAACAAACUGAUGUUUCUUCACUAGCAUUUCUAAAACACUCCCCAGGUAUUUUCUUCCAUCUCUAUCUGUGUGUGUUUUUGUUUGUUUGUUUACUUGUUUCUGCCUACCUCUUCCCUGGAUUUCAUUGCGUUUAGCAGCUUCCCCCUGCAAUCCCUUCUCUGCCAAUGUGGAGGUGUGGGCUUGCACCCCUCUUGCUGUGCUGUGCAGGAGUGCAAGGGCGUGUAGGAAGGGAGGAGCAGUGGGUUGGUUUUUCCUUCUGCUGAAGCUGUUUCACUUUGGUCCUGGUGACCAAGUGCUUCCAUAAACCAGCUUGGUGAGCACAGUAUUCACACCACUUGAUUUAGCAGGGGAUCCGAAAUUUCCAUUUUUAGAGGACGGGGAAACCAUUAAUGGCCACAUGCCUGUGGAUGCCAUGGGUACCAUUGCUGCAACAGGGCUGCAGCACACUGCUUCGACCUGCACAUGAAUCCUGAGGGCUGUGGAGCGAGUCAGUGCCACCAUGUGGACACAGGAGCGUGACCCAUGUGGCUCAGACCUAUCCUACGUUGGUGGAAACUGCCCCAAAAAUACAGCAGAUUUAGCUGUCUUACUGGCAACUGGUAAAAGAACAAUAAAAGGGGUUGCUUGGAAAUCA